UACCAACCAAAAAGCUGAAGAAAUAUGAAAAAGAGUAUCAGACAAUGCGAGAGAGUCAGCUGCAACAGGAAGAUCCAAUGGAUAGAUACAAGUUUGUAUAUCUGUAGGUAACUCCAGCUGUUGCAUUUGUGUUGGGACUCAUCAUAAGAAGCUGGGAGAAAAGAGAGGGAGAAAGAAAGAGGCUUCCUACUUUCAAAAAUGAGGAAAAAAAAAGAAAAUGGCAAAGUAUUGUCUUAGCUGUGCAUUAUCAUUUCCACAGACUUUUAGAAGGGGAACUCUUCCAAGCCUGACAAAAGGAUGUUUCAGACUUGCCUCGGUCUGUAGCAAUGUCACAAAUACAAACUUAUUUAGAAGGAAAAAUAAAAAUCACAAAGCUAUAUCAAGCACA
Long non-coding RNA from Dipodomys ordii (Ord's kangaroo rat), 388 nucleotides. RefSeq lists it as uncharacterized. The transcript is spliced from 2 exons. Lineage: Eukaryota; Metazoa; Chordata; Mammalia; Rodentia; Heteromyidae. The record is from RefSeq and is a predicted model, not a curated record.